UACGGGGGGGAGCAAGCGUUUGUUCGGAUUUACUGGGCGUAAAGGGCGCGUAGGCGGUCGUGACAAGUCACUUGUGAAAUCUCCGGGCUUAACUCGGAACGGUCAAGUGAUACUGUCGGACUAGAGUACAGAAGGGGGCAACUGGAAUUCUCGGUGUAGCGGUGAAAUGCGUAGAUAUCGGGGAGGAACACCGGUGGCGAAGGCGGCGACCUGGGUUGACACUGACGCUGAGGCGCGAAAGCGUGGGGAGCAAACAGG
RNAcentral lists this ribosomal RNA (258 nucleotides) under uncultured bacterium. RNAcentral describes it as "partial 16S ribosomal RNA". It matches the Rfam family "Bacterial small subunit ribosomal RNA", at positions 524 to 776 of the family's 1533-position model. The record is from RNAcentral.